RNAcentral lists this ribosomal RNA (465 nucleotides) under uncultured bacterium. RNAcentral's name for it is "partial 16S ribosomal RNA". It matches the Rfam family "Bacterial small subunit ribosomal RNA", at positions 338 to 795 of the family's 1533-position model. The record is from RNAcentral.
CCUACGGGUGGCAGCAGUGGGGAAUAUUGCGCAAUGGGCGAAAGCCUGACGCAGCGACGCCGCGUGAGGGAUGAAGGUCUGCGGAUCGGAAACCUCUGUCAGCAGGGAAGAACGGUCAAUGUGCUAAUCAGCAGUGAAUUGACGGUACCUGUCGAACAAGCCACGGCUAACUACGUGCCAGCAGCCGCGGUAAGACGUAGGUGGCAAGCGUUGUCCGGAUUUACUGGGUGUAAAGGGCGUGGAGCCGGGCUGACAAGUCAGAUGUGAAAUCCGGGGGCUCAACCCCCGGACUGCAUUUGAAACUGUUGGUCUUGAGUAUCGGAGAGGCAGGCGGAAUUCCUGGUGUAGCGGUGAAAUGCGUAGAUAUUAGGAGGAACACCAGUGGCGAAGGCGGCCUGCUGGACGACAACUGACGGUGAGGCGCGAAAGCGUGGGGAGCAAACAGGAUUAGAUACCCUUGUAGUC